AUUGUAUAUGGCCAGAUCUCCCCAGGCAGCCCCUCUCUAUGUCGAAUGGCUUCAUCGUAACAUAAAGUUAAUUCUUCACUAAAUUGUAGCCCCACCAUCUCAACCCAGGCUUCUUAUAUCAUUUCUAAUUUCAGACAACAGCUCCCCAACUGGUGGCAUUUCAUCAUCCUUUCCAUUUUGUUCUAAAUACUCCCUCCUGGAUAUGCAGCCUCUAUACCAUGCUAUCAUCUCAUUACUG
Long non-coding RNA from Perognathus longimembris pacificus (Pacific pocket mouse), 238 nucleotides. RefSeq lists it as uncharacterized. The transcript has 4 exons. The record is from RefSeq and is a predicted model, not a curated record. NCBI's taxonomy places the organism in Eukaryota, Metazoa, Chordata, Mammalia, Rodentia, Heteromyidae.